This is a long non-coding RNA of Mytilus californianus (California mussel), 1121 nucleotides long. RefSeq lists it as uncharacterized. The record is from RefSeq and is a predicted model, not a curated record. NCBI's taxonomy places the organism in Eukaryota, Metazoa, Mollusca, Bivalvia, Mytilida, Mytilidae. The transcript has 3 exons.
CAAUAGUGAAGAUUACUUACUCAUAGGUAAAUAACAUAAGUCGUUUCUAACUUUGCAAUAGCCGACAGAUACUAUGUAGUUGAUUCCGAAUUUGAGCAAGCAUUCGAUCUGUUCGCAAUUGAAGGGUCGAUUAACUUGAGAGGGUUAAGGAGCAUUAUGAAAGCACUUCAAGGAUCUGCACCAAAUGACGAAGAGCUGAAGUUAAUGAUUAAGGCUGUUGAUACUGACGACGAUGAAUGGAUUAGUUUUGAUGAGUUCUUGAAGAUUUUGUCGAUAAAAUUUGAAAAAAUGGAUUCGGCGCAGACAGUUCGUGAGGCAUUCAAGUCGUUUGAUAUCAAUGGUAUCGGUGAAGUAAGUACAGACCAUCUACGUCACGUGCUCACAAAUGAAGACGACCAACUCUCUGAAGACGAAAUAAACAAUCUGUUAAAAGACUUUACGGAUAAGACAAUAAAAUAUGAAGACUUUAUAGAGGAAUACGAUAAUGAUUUAAUAGAAUAUCGUAUGGCUACAAAACUAAAUUGAGAGAGAGAGAGAGAGAGAGAGAGAGAGAGAGAGAGAGAGAGAGAGAGAGAGCAAAACUUCUGUAUUCUUUUACACCCCUUCCAUGUUUCAACUAGAAAUUUAAGAAAGUCAAUUAAAAAAAUUGGCUACCCUUUUUCUAAUGGACUUAUUUGACUUAAAUGUUGUCUUUUCCCCCUACUCCAAAGCAUGUCCCGUUGAUAUGAUUUGUGCUUGAACAUAAGAUUGUACAAUUUAUAUAGAUUUCAAAUAAGAUUAUUAUAUAUUUCACUUUAAGUGUCAGCAAAUUUCAAGAAACUAGUUCAGUAUGUUAAUGUUAUUUUGUUACAAUAGUAAAUGUUAUGUAUGUUCAUGUAAUUUACAUAAAAUAUCUCUUAGACUAAUAAAACUUGGUAAUAAAUUUGUCUAUCUUAAAGUAAAUUGUAUAAUGAAAUGUUUUUACCUUGAACUCUAUAUACAACAGGCAUUGCAAAUACUUUGGAAUAUUUUCAAACUUAUAAUAAAAUAAGCAAAGAAUAAGGUCCGAAAUACUGCGAAUCAAAAAUCUUGUUAUUAAAUGAAUUUUUGAAGGGUUUAAUAAAUUUUAUUUGAACUACUUU